RNAcentral lists this ribosomal RNA (371 nucleotides) under uncultured organism. RNAcentral's name for it is "bacterial SSU rRNA". It matches the Rfam family "Bacterial small subunit ribosomal RNA", at positions 526 to 896 of the family's 1533-position model. The record is from RNAcentral.
CGUAGGUGGCAAGCGUUGUCCGGAAUUAUUGGGUGUAAAGGGUGCGUAGGCGGGAAUAUAAGUCGGAUGUGAAAUGCCCGGGCUCAACUCGGGAGCUGCACUCGAAACUAUAUUUCUUGAGUGAAGUAGAGGCAAGCGGAAUUCCUAGUGUAGCGGUGAAAUGCGUAGAUAUUAGGAGGAACACCAGUGGCGAAGGCGGCUUGCUGGGCUUUUACUGACGCUGAGGCACGAAAGCAUGGGGAGCAAACAGGAUUAGAUACCCUGGUAGUCCAUGCUGUAAACGAUGAAUGCUAGGUGUGGGGGGUCUGACCCCUUCCGUGCCGGAGUUAACACAAUAAGCAUUCCACCUGGGGAGUACGGCCGCAAGGUUG